UGUUUUAGUGCUCAUAGCAUUUCACUAUAGGAAAAAAUUGGCUAAAGACUUCUAAUGAGCAAUGAAAUCAAACCAUUAAUACAUUGGCACCAGUGACUUUUAGGCUCAGAAAACCAGAUUUUGACUAUGUGAUUCCUAUUCGCUCCCAUUUAUGUUGACAUGUAAAGCUGGUUGCUUAUAAUAGACUUUGAAUAUGUCAUUGUGUAUACCAAAUCAACUCAAAAUGCACAAUUGCAUAUACAAAAAUGUACCACAGUGCAAACCUGUACGAAAUUGCAUCUCUCUUCCAUAGUUUCAGCAGUCUUUAAAUCUUUAAAUUAUGAUAUAUUGAUAACAUUAUAAUGUUUAAAAAUGAGUGGGCAACUUUCAAAAAGAAAAAGAAAAAUUAUUCUACAUACAUUUCAUACUUUACUUAAUAUGAACUUCAUAAGUAUAUUGUACAGCAAUAUGUACGAAUUACAUUUUAGACUUUACUUGACAUGAACUUCAUAAGUAUGUUGUUCAGCAAUAUGUAAGAAUCAUUAUGCUCAAAAGUUCUAAUGUCAAGCUUUAUCAUGAAAAAUAGCAAAAGCAUAUGUAAUCAUAUUAAAAGAAUACAAACUGUUUCCUAUCUAUCAAUCAUCAUCUACAGAAUAUGUUAAAAUAGUGAGCAUAGAUUAAACUGAGAUAUGUACUUUUAACUUGUUAUUUUCUUAGAUUGUUAAAAGAUUACAUAUACAUCUUCUGUGGACUUAGUAUCUGACAAACCUCCUUUCUAUGUUAUAUAAGCACAAUUAUUCCACUUGUUCGCAGAUAUAAUAUAUUUGAUUUAUAACUUCUGUUUUGUUAAUUUCUACCAAAUAUCACAUGGACCUUUAUGUAUAACCGUUAACUAGUACAGAUGUUGCUAAAAAGACCAAAAACACUCUGUAGUUUCAUUCUUACAAACCCAAUACAACAAACAUAUCAUCCUUUCCCUUGCAUAAUUGAUCACUAAAGGUUUGACACGAAGACACCAUGAGCAUGCAUACCUUAUGCAUCGUAACAAGCACCGCUUUGCUUUUUUAAACAGCCAUCUAUGACAAAUUUAUCAUCCUCCCUCUUGCAUAAGUCAAUCACCAAAGUCAGGAUAGAAAAGCCCAUUGACCAACUUGGGCAACAGGCGUAAAAACCUUGGAACUAGACCCGACAUGAAUUAGCUCCAUGAAUAUGCACACUAAAUAUAUUAUAAGAUGUUUACACCUCCACACUGUCAUACAAGUGAAAAGGUAAAAAACUUCCAAAAACCUAAUUAGGAUUCAAAUACGUUACUUCCUCCAAGACAUUAGGAUGCC
This 1313-nucleotide long non-coding RNA is filed under the name Elaeis guineensis (African oil palm). RNAcentral describes it as "long non-coding RNA (EGUI_LNC020278)". The record is from RNAcentral. Lineage: Eukaryota; Viridiplantae; Streptophyta; Magnoliopsida; Arecales; Arecaceae.